RNAcentral lists this transfer RNA (70 nucleotides) under Dipodomys ordii (Ord's kangaroo rat). It matches the Rfam family "tRNA". From Rfam's summary of the family: Transfer RNA (tRNA) molecules are approximately 80 nucleotides in length. Their secondary structure includes four short double-helical elements and three loops (D, anti-codon, and T loops). Further hydrogen bonds mediate the characteristic L-shaped molecular structure. tRNAs have two regions of fundamental functional importance: the anti-codon, which is responsible for specific mRNA codon recognition, and the 3' end, to which the tRNAs corresponding amino acid is attached (by aminoacyl-tRNA synthetases). tRNAs cope with the degeneracy of the genetic code in two manners: having more than one tRNA (with a specific anti-codon) for a particular amino acid; and 'wobble' base-pairing, i.e. permitting non-standard base-pairing at the 3rd anti-codon position. Lineage: Eukaryota; Metazoa; Chordata; Mammalia; Rodentia; Heteromyidae. The record is from Rfam by way of RNAcentral.
GGAAAGAUGGCUCAGUGGUAGAGCUCUUGCCUUGCAUGCAUGAGGCCCUGGGUUCGAUUCCUCAGUACCA